CCUGCCCCUCCAGCCCCACCCUGACAUUUCAAUCGCUGUUGUUUAGGCCUUGCAGGGUAGCCAGAGGCAUCUGGGACAGAGAGAAGCCUUGUCUAGUCCCUCCCCCACUCCAGAGUACUGCCAGGACCUCAGGGCUAAGGGGACACAGCUUCUCCUCUGGUACCGCCAGGGGAUAUGACAGAACAGCCCCAAGGGCUGGGCUCAAUGCAAGACCUUGUUCUGCUGCCGAGAAAGGGGAGAGUGGUUUUGGACGAAUGGAGGCUGACUCCAGGGAAAUGUGUAUUCAUGUGUCUGUGUGGUGGUGGUGGGGAGGGCAGGCCUCCCACGACUGAGAAGCAUCAGUGAGUACUGGAACGGGUCCAAGGAAUUUGUGCAGCCUCAGGCCCCUUGGGGUGUUGCCUCAGGUCCUGCUUCCAUGAAACUGAUGCUGGCUGCCUAGGCUGGAGGACUUCCCUACACCUUUCCAGCUGCCCGAGAGGAAGUGAUGACCUAAGCCAGGCUUUCUGAAGCUAUAAGCCCCGACUCCCCACUUCUAGUAGGUCACAAAACAGUAUCCUCACCACCUUUCUAGGCCUACCCAGAAUCAACGUCAGCAUUAAGACAAGUGGUUCUCCACUGGGUGCACACAAGAGCCAACCAGGGAGCUUUAAUCUCCAGGGAAGGACCUGGGCAUCAAUCACACUAUUUUUAGAAAGGUCCUGGGGGAUUCUAACACAAAGCUAGGGAGAUACUCACCUAGGUAAAUUUCUCUGUGCUACCUGACCUAUCUGAGCAGAAAGGAGGCAACUGGGAAGCUCUGACCCAAACUCACAACCAAGGUCUCCCUGGAGAACUGGAGGAAGUAGUAAGGUUAGCUGGGUGGGACACGGAGAUACAACCCAGAUAAAGCUGGAGAUUUGCCUCACUGUUCAGCUCUCCAGGUUUGAAGAAACCUGAAAAGCUUAAAAAAGAAAAAAAAAGGACUUGGAGACAGGUAACUCUUAAUUGGGGACUAGUGAACCAACUGAACUCAAGAUUUGGUUUGUUGAGUAGGUAUGCAUCUUUUUGGGGAGGGGAGGGAAGAAGGGAAGAUUUUCUGAGUGGUCUAUCCCGAUAAAUAUUAAGAAUGCUUAGCUGGGUGCAGUGGCUCACACCUGUAAUCCUAGCACUUUGGGAGGCUGAGGUGGGUGGAUCACUUGAGGUCAGGAGUCCAAGACCAGCCCCUGACCAAUAUCGUGAAACUUCGUCUUUAAAAAACAGAAAAAAAAAAAAGAAGAACACUUGUUCUAGAAUAAUGUGCUGGGCUUCUCCCAAAAGAAA
Callithrix jacchus (white-tufted-ear marmoset) is the source of this 1299-nucleotide non-coding RNA. Lineage: Eukaryota; Metazoa; Chordata; Mammalia; Primates; Cebidae. The record is from RefSeq and is a predicted model, not a curated record.